UACAGAUCAGUUAAGCCAGGUAACCUCAAUCGGAGAAUGCAAUGAGGAAAAAUCCUCCUCAAGUCCUACAAAUCUGCAGAACUACAAUAACCAGCUGCAGUUUCAAAAUCAGAACCAGGCUCAAUUGCAUGCACAAAGCAGUCUCUGGCCUGUGCCCUGCCCAGCCACUCUUGGAACCUCCUGUUCUGCACCCCCAGCAAAUUAUCAUGCCCCAAGCUGAUUCUAAUACCCUAAAUGGCUCACUUCCUUUCCUAGAUACUGAUUAUGAAUGGAUAUCAAACCCUUCAUCUUGCACACCUCUCCCUGGGGUGUUUGGAUCACCAGGGUCUUUGUCAAUAUUUGGGUUGCAAGAACAAUCAGCUAUUCUCUCAGAUGCAAUCAACC
This 384-nucleotide unclassified non-coding RNA is filed under the name Hevea brasiliensis (rubber tree). Lineage: Eukaryota; Viridiplantae; Streptophyta; Magnoliopsida; Malpighiales; Euphorbiaceae. The record is from RNAcentral.